RNAcentral lists this transfer RNA (73 nucleotides) under Bos taurus (domestic cattle). It matches the Rfam family "tRNA". From Rfam's summary of the family: Transfer RNA (tRNA) molecules are approximately 80 nucleotides in length. Their secondary structure includes four short double-helical elements and three loops (D, anti-codon, and T loops). The record is from Rfam by way of RNAcentral. Lineage: Eukaryota; Metazoa; Chordata; Mammalia; Artiodactyla; Bovidae. RNAcentral also lists the same sequence under 4 other names.
UCCCUGGUGGUUUAGUGGCUAAAACUCCAAGCUCCCAAUUCAGGGGGCCUGGGUUCGAUCCCUGGUCAGGGAA